UGGCGAUUCGUAAUGAGUCGUCACUUUUAAUACAGCUGGUGUAAGCCAAAGGUCACAAGCCCUUGUAAAUUGUAGAGUGAAGU
This 83-nucleotide non-coding RNA is filed under the name unclassified sequences. The record is from RNAcentral.